UCCUCGGUAGUAUAGUGGUCAGUAUCCCCGCCUGUCACGCGGAGACCGGGGUUCGAUUCCCCGCGGGGAG
Molecule: transfer RNA, 70 nt
Filed under: Trichonephila clavata
Lineage: Eukaryota; Metazoa; Arthropoda; Arachnida; Araneae; Nephilidae
Rfam family: tRNA
About the family: Transfer RNA (tRNA) molecules are approximately 80 nucleotides in length. Their secondary structure includes four short double-helical elements and three loops (D, anti-codon, and T loops).
Source: Rfam by way of RNAcentral